GGCGCUGUAGAACAGUGGUUAGUUCGGGGGGCUCUCAAUCCCCAAACAGGAGUUCAAUUCUCCUCGGCGCUACCA
RNAcentral lists this transfer RNA (75 nucleotides) under Coprothermobacter sp. RNAcentral describes it as "tRNA-Glu". It matches the Rfam family "tRNA". From Rfam's summary of the family: Transfer RNA (tRNA) molecules are approximately 80 nucleotides in length. Their secondary structure includes four short double-helical elements and three loops (D, anti-codon, and T loops). RNAcentral also lists the same sequence under 11 other names. The record is from RNAcentral. Lineage: Bacteria; Pseudomonadati; Coprothermobacterota; Coprothermobacteria; Coprothermobacterales; Coprothermobacteraceae.